This 422-nucleotide ribosomal RNA is filed under the name Actinomyces sp. 12-055. Its description in RNAcentral is "bacterial SSU rRNA". It matches the Rfam family "Bacterial small subunit ribosomal RNA", at positions 59 to 476 of the family's 1533-position model. The record is from RNAcentral. Lineage: Bacteria; Bacillati; Actinomycetota; Actinomycetes; Actinomycetales; Actinomycetaceae.
AAGUCGAACGCUGAAGCCUGGCUUUUGUUGGGUGGAUGAGUGGCGAACGGGUGAGUAACACGUGAGUAACCUGCCCCCUUYUUUGGGAUAACGCCCGGAAACGGGUGCUAAUACUGGAUAUUCACUGGUCUUYGCAUGGGGGUUGGUGGAAAGGGUUUUUCUGGUGGGGGAUGGGCUCGCGGCCUAUCAGCUUGUUGGUGGGGUGAUGGCCUACCAAGGCUUUGACGGGUAGCCGGCCUGAGAGGGUGACCGGUCACAUUGGGACUGAGAUACGGCCCARACUCCUACGGGAGGCAGCAGUGGGGAAUAUUGCACAAUGGGCGCAAGCCUGAUGCAGCGACSCCGCGUGAGGGAUGGAGGCCUUCGGGUUGUGAACCUCUUUCGCUCAWGGUCAAGCCGCAACUGUGGGUUGKGGUGAGGGU